Molecule: transfer RNA, 77 nt
Filed under: Candidatus Limadaptatus stercoravium
Lineage: Bacteria; Bacillati; Bacillota; Clostridia; Eubacteriales
Also listed under: 3 other names
Description: tRNA-Val
Rfam family: tRNA
About the family: Transfer RNA (tRNA) molecules are approximately 80 nucleotides in length. Their secondary structure includes four short double-helical elements and three loops (D, anti-codon, and T loops).
Source: RNAcentral
GGGGGCAUAGCCCAGUCGGUUAGAGCGCUUGUUUCACAUACAAGAGGUCACAGGUUCGAGUCCUGUUGUCCCCACCA